This 485-nucleotide ribosomal RNA is filed under the name uncultured bacterium. RNAcentral describes it as "bacterial SSU rRNA". It matches the Rfam family "Bacterial small subunit ribosomal RNA", at positions 27 to 518 of the family's 1533-position model. The record is from RNAcentral.
GGACAAACGCUGGCGGCGUGCAUAACACAUGCAAGUCGGACGAGAAUCGAUCGGAAGCUUGCUUUCGAUGAGGACAGUGGCGAACGGGUGAGUAACGCGUAAGCAACCAACCUCUGCCUGGGGGAUAGCCCCGGGAAACUGGAAUUAAUACCGCAUAAGACUACGAUGCCGCAUGGCAACGCAGUAAAAGAUUUAUCGGGCAGAGACGGGCUUGCGUACCAUUGGCUAGUUGGUGAGAUAACAGCCCACCAAGGCUACGAUGGUUAGCCGACCUGAGAGGGUGAUCGGCCACAUUGGGACUGAGACACGGCCCAGACUCCUACGGGAGGCAGCAGUGGGGAAUAUUGCGCAAUGGAGGAAACUCCUGACGCAGCAACGCCGCGUGAGUGAUGAAGGUUUUAGGAUUGUAAAACUCUGUCUUUGGGGACGAAAGAAAUGACGGUACCCAUAGAGGAAGCCCCGGCUAACUACGUGCCAGCAGCGGC